This 253-nucleotide ribosomal RNA is filed under the name uncultured bacterium. Its description in RNAcentral is "partial 16S ribosomal RNA". It matches the Rfam family "Bacterial small subunit ribosomal RNA", at positions 524 to 776 of the family's 1533-position model. The record is from RNAcentral.
UACGUAGGUGGCAAGCGUUGUCCGGAUUUACUGGGCGUAAAGAGCGCGCAGGCGGUCGUACAAGUCGCGUGUGAAAGCCCCCGGCUCAACUGGGGAGGGUCACGCGAUACUGAUCGACUCGAAGGCAGGAGAGGGUAGUGGAAUUCCCGGUGUAGUGGUGAAAUGCGUAGAUAUCGGGAGGAACACCUGUGGCGAAGGCGACUACCUGGCCUGUUCUUGACGCUGAGGCGCGAAAGCUAGGGGAGCAAACGGG